GCUUUCUCUGAAGUAAAUGGUAGUAUGAGAUAAAGAAAAAGUAGGCUGGUCCUGAGCCAGAAAGUUCUACCCUGGUGACUAGAUUUCAAAGUGGCAGAAGGUAAAAUUCUGGCUCCUGCAGAAGGAAAGACAUCAAUGUUUUACCUAGCUGUGACUCCUAUGAUAGAACCAAUCUUCCAGGAAAUGGCAACUGGUCAACCAGAGUUUUCAUUUUAUCAAACCAAAGCCUGAAGAGUUUUCCAUUGCAUCACAACCAGGAAGGUCAGAAGAAGUUCCUAGAGAACUGGAAGCCUAAUUUCGUCCACAGCGUCAAAUCUGAAUAGUUCACUGAGGAUUGCAAAUGAAAUAUGGUUUAUAGCAUAUGAGAAGAGUCAAGGAAAGACAAAACUAGAAUGCUAGAGACCAGAGAAAGAAAAAAGGAGGUUUCAGCUAAACUCUUCUGUGCUUCUGACAGCUGAAAGACUACCUGCCGUCUCAUGGGGAAAACGAAGCAUUGACUCCAGGAUGCUAAAUAUCAACCACCCCAAAGGAAGUGACAAAAUUAAGUAAAUUUUAAAUUUCUUUGUUUAACUUACAAAACUAGCUAGCUGUGGCUGCUAUACCAGAGAAC
Molecule: long non-coding RNA, 610 nt
Organism: Mesocricetus auratus (golden hamster)
Lineage: Eukaryota; Metazoa; Chordata; Mammalia; Rodentia; Cricetidae
Exons: 4
Source: RefSeq, a predicted model, not a curated record